GGGCGGAUGGUUUAGUGGUAUAAUACUCCCUUAGCAUGACUUCAUCUCAUGGAGCAUAGAAUUGGGAGUGGUCCGGGGUUCGAUUCCCCGUCUGUCCA
RNAcentral lists this transfer RNA (98 nucleotides) under Metarhizium album ARSEF 1941. It matches the Rfam family "tRNA". Rfam says of the family: Transfer RNA (tRNA) molecules are approximately 80 nucleotides in length. The record is from Rfam by way of RNAcentral. Lineage: Eukaryota; Fungi; Ascomycota; Sordariomycetes; Hypocreales; Clavicipitaceae.